UUUGUUUGAAAGAUGGCUUUGGCUAUCACUCUGGGAUGGACCUGCGGUGCAUUAGCUAGUUGGUAAGGUAACGGCUUACCAAGGCGAUGAUGCAUAGCCGAGUUGAGAGACUGAUCGGCCACAAUGGAACUGAGACACGGUCCAUACUCCUACGGGAGGCAGCAGUAGGGAAUCUUCCACAAUGGGCGCAAGCCUGAUGGAGCAACACCGCGUGAGUGAAGAAGGGUUUCGGCUCGUAAAGCUCUGUUGUUGGAGAAGAACGUGCGUGAGAGUAACUGUUCACGCAGUGACGGUAUCCAACCAGAAAGUCACGGCUAACUACGUGCCAGCAGCCGCGGUAAUACGUAGGUGGCAAGCGUUAUCCGGAUUUAUUGGGCGUAAAGCGAGCGCAGGCGGUUGCUUAGGUCUGAUGUGAAAGCCUUCGGCUUAACCGAAGAAGUG
Molecule: ribosomal RNA, 441 nt
Filed under: Limosilactobacillus reuteri
Lineage: Bacteria; Bacillati; Bacillota; Bacilli; Lactobacillales; Lactobacillaceae
Description: bacterial SSU rRNA
Rfam family: Bacterial small subunit ribosomal RNA
Source: RNAcentral